UACGUAGGGUGCAAGCGUUGUCCGGAAUUAUUGGGCGUAAAGAGCUCGUAGGCGGUUUGUCGCGUCUGCUGUGAAAACCCGAGGCUCAACCUCGGGCCUGCAGUGGGUACGGGCAGACUAGAGUGCGGUAGGGGAGAUUGGAAUUCCUGGUGUAGCGGUGAAAUGCGCAGAUAUCAGGAGGAACACCGGUGGCGAAGGCGGGUCUCUGGGCCGAUACUGACGCUGAGACGCGAAAGCGUGGGGAGCGAACAGG
Molecule: ribosomal RNA, 253 nt
Filed under: uncultured bacterium
Lineage: Bacteria
Description: partial 16S ribosomal RNA
Rfam family: Bacterial small subunit ribosomal RNA
Source: RNAcentral